This 783-nucleotide ribosomal RNA is filed under the name uncultured Bacillota bacterium. Its description in RNAcentral is "bacterial SSU rRNA". It matches the Rfam family "Bacterial small subunit ribosomal RNA", at positions 759 to 1526 of the family's 1533-position model. The record is from RNAcentral. Lineage: Bacteria; Bacillati; Bacillota.
GCGUGGGGAGCGAACCGGAUUAGAUACCCGGGUAGUCCACGCCCUAAACGAUGGAUGCUAGGUGUGGGGGUGUAAACCUCCGUGCCGCAGCUAACGCAUUNAAGCAUCCCCGCCUGGGGAGUAUGGUCGCAAGACUGAAACUCAAAGGAAUUGGCGGGGGCCCGCACAAGCGGUGGAGCAUGUGGUUUAAUUCGAUGCUAAGCGAAGAACCUUACCAGGGUUUGACAUGCUGGAUUAAGCCUAUGUGAAAGCAUGGGGUGAUGUGGGGCUUGUCUCCACAUGGCCAGCACAGGUGCUGCAUGGCUGUCGUCAGCUCGUGCCGUGAGGUGUCCGGUUAAGUCCGGUAACGAGCGCAACCCCUAUCACUAGUUGCCAGCAUUAAGGUGGGCACUCUAGAGAGACUGCCGGCGACAAGCCGGAGGAAGGCGGGGAUGACGUCAAGUCAGCAUGGCCCUUAUGUCCUGGGCUACACACAUGCUACAAUGGCGAGCACAACGGGUUGCGAACCCGCGAGGGGGAGCUAAUCUCAUCAAAGUUCGUCUCAGUUCGGAUUGCAGGCUGCAACUCGCCUGCAUGAAGCUGGAAUCGCUAGUAAUCGCGGAUCAGCCACGCCGCGGUGAAUACGUUCCCGGGCCUUGCACACACCGCCCGUCACACCACGAAAGUUGGUUCUACCCGAAGUGGCUGAGCUAACCCGCAAGGGAGGCAGGCUCCGAAGGUAGGGCUGAUGAUUGGGGUGAAGUCGUAACAAGGUAGCCGUAGCGGAAGCUGCGGCUGGAUCAC